UGGGGAAUUUUGGACAAUGGGCGAAAGCCUGAUCCAGCAAUGCCGCGUGUGUGAAGAAGGCCUUCGGGUUGUAAAGCACUUUUGUCCGGAAAGAAAUCCUUGGCUCUAAUACAGUCGGGGGAUGACGGUACCGGAAGAAUAAGCACCGGCUAACUACGUGCCAGCAGCCGCGGUAAUACGUAGGGUGCAAGCGUUAAUCGGAAUUACUGGGCGUAAAGCGUGCGCAGGCGGUUUGCUAAGACCGAUGUGAAAUCCCCGGGCUCAACCUGGGAACUGCAUUGGUGACUGGCAGGCUAGAGUAUGGCAGAGGGGGGUAGAAUUCCACGUGUAGCAGUGAAAUGCGUAGAGAUGUGGAGGAAUACCGAUGGCGAAGGCAGCCCCCUGGCCAAGUACUGACGCUCAUGCACGAAAGCGUGGGGAGCAAACNGGAUUAAUACCCUGGUAGUCCACGCCCUAAACGAUGUCAACUAGUUGUUGGGGGAUUUCAUUUUCCUUAGUAACGUAGCUAACGCGUGAAGUUGACCGCCUGGGGAGUACGGUCGCAAGAUUAAAACUCAAAUAAUUGACGGGGUCAUGCUGUUU
Molecule: ribosomal RNA, 582 nt
Filed under: uncultured bacterium
Lineage: Bacteria
Description: partial 16S ribosomal RNA
Rfam family: Bacterial small subunit ribosomal RNA
Source: RNAcentral